This 395-nucleotide ribosomal RNA is filed under the name uncultured bacterium. Its description in RNAcentral is "partial 16S ribosomal RNA". It matches the Rfam family "Bacterial small subunit ribosomal RNA", at positions 523 to 918 of the family's 1533-position model. The record is from RNAcentral.
AUACGUAGGGGGCGAGCGUUAUCCGGAUUUAUUGGGCGUAAAGCGUGUGUAGGCGGUUUGUUAAGUUUAAGAUUAAAGCCCGAGGCUUAACCUCGGUUCGUCUUAAAAACUGGCAGACUUGAGUGCAGUAGAGGCAAGUGGAAUUUCUAGUGUAGCGGUUAAAUGCGUAGAUAUUAGAAGGAACACCAGUGGCGAAGGCGGCUUGCUGGACGACAACUGACGCUGAGGCGCGAAAGCGUGGGGAGCAAACAGGAUUAGAUACCCUGGUAGUCCACGCCCUAAACGAUGAAUACUAGGUGUGGGGGGACUGACCCCCUCCGUGCCGGAGUAAACACAAUAAGUAUUCCACCUGGGGAGUACGACCGCAAGGUUGAAACUCAAAGGAAUUGACGGGG